AGGUUAGCGUCGCCCGUCUCUUCCCCCCCAUGUGAUCGAUCGCCACCGCCGCUCCCGCCGCCGCUGCUCCCUCCGGUGCGCCUCCCGUGGGCUCGCGCCGCUCUCUCCGCCGCGAUCUCACCCUGCUCCGCCGCCUCCAUCCCCGCUCUCGGGAAAGGGAGAUUGGUACUUUCUCUGUAUCGUUUCCCAACAGGAAUGAUCCAAACAGUGCCAAAGCUGCUUUUAGACGGCUGCUGGAUUCGAAGGAAUGAUACAUGCUAUUAGCAGAUUUCCGGUGGCAAAUCAUUGGCCUGGGGCUUAAAUGCAGCAUGUUAUUGCCACCACAUAUAGAAGAUGCAGCGUCCUGCCAUUGUUUAAUUCUUGUGCUAAAGUAUAGCAGCUCAUUGCUAUGGUUUGGUGCAAAAGUGGUGCAUUAGCUGUACUCAUGUUGCCCAUUUUCAUAUAUUCUUCCAGAACGUGAUCCUAAUUUUCUGGUUUGGUUUAUAGCUAGGGGGAGGAGAGAAAAUGAGGGAGAGCUGGUUUUAGUACAUAAGCCAGCUUACAUCAUUGUUGUUCUGUUUAUGGCUAUUAAUUAGACCGCUCUGUGAGAUGGACAAAUCAUUGUUUCCACCCUGUCUAGAACAUGUGCAGCAAUUGCUGCCUUAAUGCUGCAUGAGUGGUGUGGUUAGAC
This 670-nucleotide small RNA is filed under the name Oryza sativa Japonica Group (Japanese rice). RNAcentral describes it as "sRNA Os08g0486801". The record is from RNAcentral. Lineage: Eukaryota; Viridiplantae; Streptophyta; Magnoliopsida; Poales; Poaceae.